Oncorhynchus tshawytscha (Chinook salmon) is the source of this 4399-nucleotide long non-coding RNA. The record is from Ensembl. Lineage: Eukaryota; Metazoa; Chordata; Actinopteri; Salmoniformes; Salmonidae.
GAGCCAGGCAGCCCAAACUAGCAUAUACCCUGACUCUGCUUACACUGAAUGCAAGAGAAGUGACACAAUUUCCCUAGUUUAAUAUUGCCUGCUAACAUGCAUUUAUUUUAACUAAAUAUGCAGGUAAAAAAAAAAAAUCUGAUUUUAAGGCAUUGAUGGUUAGGUACAUUUGUGCGACGAAUGUGCUUUUUUUCGCAAAUGCACUUUUGUUAAAUCAUCACCCAUUUGGCUAAGUAGGCUGUGAUUCGAUAAAUUAACAGGCACCGCAUUGAUUAUAUGCAACGCAGGACAAGGUAGUUAAACUAGUAAUAUCAUCAACCAUGUGUAGUUAACUAGUGAUUAUGUUAAGAUAAGUUGCAAGCUAGCGUUUGGUUUUUUUAUUUUUAUAAAGAUAAACUUAUCUUGGCUCAUUGCAGCCACAUGGUCCUUCUGAUGCUGCACUCGUGUAACAGGUGGUCAGCCUGCCACUCAGUUUCCUCAUUGAUUGCAAUGUAAUCGGCGUCCAAAAACGCUGAUUACCGAUUUUUAUGAACUUGAAAUCGGCCCUAAUUAAUCAGUUGACUUCUACUCCAAAUCAAUGCUUUUUUUUAGUCUGAGUUCUGCAAACUUGAUUGAUACUCAGAAUUGAGCAGGAGUUCCUUUAGGAUACUAACAAGGGAAAGAUGUAGUGACGUGGUAAAGGCGGAUGCUGUUUGAUUGUGAGGCACUAUACAAAUUUGACAGUCAAAAGAUGGGGACUUUAAAUAGGCCUAUGGUACGUCAAGGGAACUGAAGCCUACUGUUCCGAUGGUUUAAAUGGAAAUUGAAAUCUGGAUACUGACUAUAGGUAUAUAACCUCUUACAUAGCCUUAAUAUUAACUUGUGCAGAAUUAAGCAUUUCUUGCAGUAAAAUGAUACAUCAAAUGUAGGCUAAAUGUAUACUCGUUAACAGGAGUGGAGAAAUGUUUUUUUUUUUUAAUUUUAGCUUCUUGAGAGAAUGUGUUCGAUACAGUCUGUAGAGAUGCUGUUUUUAUCAGCAUCAUAAAAGCAUAUUUAAAAUACUCAUCACAUAAAAUAUGCGUACAAGCUGAACUGAAAUCUUGUUGAAAAACAUGUUGGGUUGUUUUCACCGCUUUCUACACUAAACAAAAAUAUAAACGGAACAUGUCAAUUGUUGGUGUUGGUCCCAAGAAGCUGAUUUAAACAGCAUGGUCAUCACACAGGUGCACCUUGUGCUGGGGACAAUAAAAGGCAGUUUUGUCACAACACAAUGCCAUAGAUGUUUUGAGGGAACAAUUACCUUGCUGACUGCAGAAAUGUCCUCCAGAGCUGUUGGCAGAAAAUUGAUUGUUAAUUUCUCUACCAUAAGCCACCUAUUCAACUACGUUUUAGGGAAUUUGUUAGUACGUACAACCGGCCCCAUAUCUGUAGAUCAUGUGUAUGGUGUCGUGUGGGUGAGCGGUUUGCUGAUGUCAACAUUGUGAAUAGUGUCUCGUGGUGGUGGGGUUAUGGUAUUGGGCAGGCACAAGCUACAGAAAACUAACACAAUUUGCAUUUUAUAGAUUGGUAAUAUGAAUGCACAAAAAUACAGCGACGAGAUACUGAGGCCCAUUUUUAAAAAAGUCAUCUGUAACUAACAGAUGCAUAUCUGUAUUCCAAGUCAUGUGAAAUCCAUAGAUUAGGGCCUAAUGAAUUUAUUUCAAUUGACUGAUUUUCCUCAUGAACUGAAACUGAGUAAAAGUUUUGAAAUUGUUACAUGUUUCAUUUAUAUUUUGGUUCAGUAUAUUCCCUUGAAACUGAUCAAACAGCUCAUUUGGAGAUUUUGCACAAUUUUUCAAUUUUUCAGCACACUUUGAAUUUCAAAUUUUCAAAUUUUUUAUUGUAUUUUCUCCCUGGUCCCUAAACAUCUAUGCUCUGCAAAAGAUGCAGAGAUUACAGAACUUUACUUAGGCUAAUUGACAUCAUUUGAGUCAAUCAGAAGCUUCUAAAGCCAUGACAUCAUUUUCUGGAAUUUUCCAAGCUGUUUAAAGGCACAGUCAACUUAAUGUAAACUUCUGACCCACUGGAAUUGUGAUGCAGUGAAAUAAUCUUACUGUAAACAAUUGUUGUAAAAACUACUCUCCUAAUCGACUUGCCAAAACUACAGUUUGUUAACAAGAAAUUUGAAGUGGCUGAAAAACAUGUUUUAAUGACUUCUGACUUCAACUGUUUAAUGACAGAAAAGAAGCUGCAUGUAUCUAAUUACAGACAAGUUGACUUAACAGUCUACCAAAAUGUUGGAAAUUAUAAGCAGAAACAUAUCUAAAUCGAACGGGUUAUUAGCAAUUGCUAAUAAACAAACCGCUCACCCAUGCACAACUAGUGGCUGGCUGACAGCCCUAAAUAAUUCACAUCUUAUUUUCAUGAUUGUAAAGGCUGUGUUUCCACCAGUCCAACCACCUGAUCGGUCAUCUUCCUUCCAUACAAACCCAGCCCUUGCCACCCUAUCCUACCCUCUUUAAUUUGCUCUGUGAUGCGCCCUAAAGUGGUCGGUGCCCAUUGCCAUGCCAACAUGGGGGCGGUGCCAUAACGUGACUGAUGCCCCCCCCCACCCCCCUCAUGUUGUGCGACCGCUAUCACGGUGAUGUCACCAUUCGCUGCCUUUGCAACCUCUAUGAUGCCCAGAGGUAACACUCUGCGGCAGAUGACUCUUGCAUGUUGAUCACUCAAUCCCAAGAUUUUAACUUGAAACUAUAUAUAUAUUUUUUUAUGUACAGUAUAUUCAAACCCCAAAAGUUAUCCCUUUAGUUAAUUCACAAAGGUUUCCCCCAAUCAUUGGUGUGGCGCUGAAGCUGGACAGAGGAGAGUUCUGUUCUGUUCAGGCAGCAUUACAUAAUGAAUCUUAAUUGGUUUGGUUGGUUGACGAGGCCCCCGGGCUACACUUGUGGGGCAUCCCUCUUUCCCUUCCCUCCCACCAUUACAGUUCAAUGUAAUUUCAUUCUUAAAAUGGCUGCCUGUUUUGGGUUUAUUUCCCCCCCUGUUUCUCGUAGUAGGUUUGGUCCAGCCAUAUGUUUUUUUUUUGCACUUCCUCUGUGGUAAAAGCAGGGGUGUUUAUGGUGGAUGGAUUAUCUGGCCACACAGCCUCAGGGCCAGGUCCUCUGUGCUGCUGCUGUUGGGUCAUCUCUGCUGCCUCUGCAUCACUUCCCCCCCUCCCCCGUGCCUCUGCCAACCGCACACAUGUACUCUUAUGCAUUCAGUGACUUGACACACACACUACAGAUUCACAAACGACCCUUCUUCCACCCCCCUAGCAACCGGCUGCAUAAACCUUUUAAUCUGCAGAAACCAGCUGUGAGUUACAUCAUAGAGAUCAGCCCAAUGACAAGGGGAUGGGGUGGGAGGAGGCAUGGAACUGGGGGGGGCUCCCUGAAAUGCACCCUGGUGAAUGGUGAGGUAGUGUGGGGUUGCAGACAGCCAUGUCAGUCAAUCCAUCCCCUCCUGCCGUCUCUGGCCAUUGCCCUCCUACCCGUACUUUUCAUCUGAUGUCCGCCCUACCUCAGAUGUGUUUCUCUCGCUACCGCCGCCCUCCUCUCUUCCCUCGCUCCCUUUCGCCCCAUCACCCUAAUGCGUUGUGUCAGUGUCUGCCCGAGGUUUGGUGCCGAGUUCCUGAAAUAAUCUCCCUCAACCAGUCUGCCAACACUCUCUCUACCUAUGUAACCAGUUCACUCCUUUUAGUGAGGGCGGUGUCUGUCUGUAUGACCAGUCUGACUUGGUUCAAUCUGAGGAAUGCCAACAUUGUUUAGAAAAGGUCAUACCAGGACAGGGUAGGACCAGGACACUUCAGGGCUGACGGCUUGAUGCCAAAACAUAUUUAGUUGAGUUGCCAGGGAUCAUUUGGUGUUGAGCUUGGUGCUGAGCUCAAUGCCUACCUCUCUAAAUGCUUCAAAGAUCUGUCAAACUGUUACUAGCAUUGGAGGAGAGGAUCCAAGGUCCCCCACCUCAGAGGUCCUAACCAUGUGGUUUUGUUCUCUCUGCAGUGUGAAGGAGGGCGGUGACUGUAAGGAUCUGAUGGAGGCGUUUGCAGCCUGUCUGAAGAGUGCGGCGGAGGCGUCGUGAGGAGGAGCUAGGCUCACAGGAAAUGUCCACUGCAUUGAGUCCUCCAUGUUUACCAGUAUUCCCUUCUGCACAACGAGCACUGGGCUGAAUGAUACUGGCGGUGUUUGGCGCCUGGCAGAAACCCUCCACCUCUUACCUACCCCCCCCUCGAAGCUUAAAUGGUGUCUUCCGAUUUGUAUCCCCUGCUCUGCUCCCACCGUGGCUGAGUACAUCCAUUGGUAGACAAUUCCCAGAUAGCCCAUGGGUUUUAUGUAAGUUGUCCACUUAAGAUGCAUACAUUUAAAAUGGAAUAAUAAACUCUAAAAGAAAUUGGUAUAACAUUUUG